This 777-nucleotide ribosomal RNA is filed under the name uncultured fungus. Its description in RNAcentral is "eukaryotic LSU rRNA". It matches the Rfam family "Eukaryotic large subunit ribosomal RNA", at positions 24 to 664 of the family's 3401-position model. Lineage: Eukaryota; Fungi. The record is from RNAcentral.
CCCGCUGAACUUAAGCAUAUCAAUAAGCGGAGGAAAAGAAACUAACAAGGAUUCCCCUAGUAACGGCGAGUGAAGCGGGAAGAGCUCAAAUUUAAAAUCUGGCGUAAAAGCCCGAAUUGUAGUCUAAAGAGGCGUUAUCGGACACGAGUUUGUUGUACAAGUUCCCUGGAAUGGGACAUCACAGAAGGUGAGAAUCCCGUCUGGACGAUGAACGAGUGGACAUAUGAGACGUUCUCAAAGAGUCGAGUUGUUUGGGAUUGCAGCUCAAAAUGGGAGGUAAAUUUCUUCUAAGGCUAAAUAAAGGCAAGAGACCGAUAGCAAACAAGUACCGUGAGGGAAAGAUGAAAAGCACCUUGAAAAGGGAGUUAAAAGCGCGUGAAAUUGUUAAAAGGGAAACGAUUGAAGCCAGUAGGCCCGUGGAGAGUUCAACGGUGUCCCAUCGAGUAUAGCUCCGAAAGAGAGUGCCUAAUCGUACCUCUAGCUGCGUACGUAGGUGAUCACCGUGCAUUCUUUCCAUGGAUAGUCAGUGCCAAUUUGGUGUGUUGUCGGAUAAGGACUUAGGAAAUAUGGCCAUCAUUCCGAUUUUGGCUUUAUAGCCCUAAGUAGAAACGAUGACCUGGAUUGGAAUCGACAACAGCUAACAGGAACGCAAUAUCUGCAGUUGUGGACGUUUGAGAAUCAGUCGAGUCUUGAACGGCAUCUAACUGGGAAAUGGUGUUUUGGAUGCUGUAGUGAGUACUGACGAAAUGGCUUUAAACGACCCGUCUUGAAACACGG